Molecule: long non-coding RNA, 864 nt
Organism: Mus pahari (shrew mouse)
Lineage: Eukaryota; Metazoa; Chordata; Mammalia; Rodentia; Muridae
Exons: 3
Source: RefSeq, a predicted model, not a curated record
CAGCGCAGUCUUCGCGGCCCAGACGAGCUUUCCGGGCCCCAGGCUAGGAAGGCCGAGUUUCUGGAACCAUAGAAGGGGAUUCUCCAAGAUAAUGAGGACAGUGGAAUUUUCUUCUUUCUUAGCUGGGAAGGACAUCUGGAAACAACAAAGAGUCACGUCGCCUUCAGUGGAUCCACUUUCCCACCUUUGAUAAUACUUUAGAGCCUCCAGUUAAAGUGCAAACUUCCCAGCUAAGUGAAGAUGAAGACCUUGUCAUUUCUAUCAUUUGUGUAAAAAGAGAGGUUAUUCAAACCCAACAAUGGAAACUUUAACAGAAGGCAGAAGUUGGUACCAGGAGUGGUUCUGGAGAAACAGAAGUGAAAGGAUGAAUCUUUUACAUAUCUGGAAUGGGCUUCAUAAUUUGUCAUCACCUUCCAAUUCACCAGUACCUUCAACUACUGAAACACACUAUCCAGACACACUCUCCUGGGAGCUCGGAGAAUAUUGAAGGCCCAUGGUGGAAACUAUAUUCCAAACUCGAAGAAGUCAAUGCCUUUGGUUAUCUUGACCCAUCAAUUGUGACUGGCAAUGGAUUAGGUGACCUGGUAUAUGAAACUUUCUACAGUUGGGUGGGAAAUAAGGAAAAUAAUUUUGCUGUCUUAUUGCUCUUUAGCAUCUCUGGGCAAAUUGAUAAAGGAAAGGAAUGAGCUUCAUGACAAAAUUGAAAGGCUCCAGAUGCAAAUAAACAAUCUAAAGGUUUCUAAGUAAGUGUACCCUUGAAGAGAAUCUUCUCUCCAGCAGCCAUAGAGCUCAAGUUACAGGAAAACAAACCAAAGCCCCCAUUAUUAGGUUGGCUGAGUUACAGCAAACACUCAAGUCUCAGCC